RNAcentral lists this long non-coding RNA (446 nucleotides) under Cyanistes caeruleus (blue tit). Its description in RNAcentral is "lncRNA (ENSCCEG00000004561.1)". Lineage: Eukaryota; Metazoa; Chordata; Aves; Passeriformes; Paridae. The record is from RNAcentral.
AGGGAUUUUGGGACCCAAAUCCCCUCCCCCAAUUCCUCACUGACACCAAUCCCAAAUUUUUUUUUUGCCGGAAAAUUCCAAAAGGGGUGGGGGAGGGGAUUUAGGAUCGACCCCUCCCCCCCUCUCUUUAUUGGGGUGACAUCGAGGGGAGACAGAAUUCCAGAGGGGGGGGAAAAAAACGGGAAUUUUGGGUGGAUUUUAAGGGAAUUUUGGGGAAUUUGGGGUGGAUUUUAAGGGAAUUUUCAGUGGAUUUGGGGUGGAAUUUUAAGGGGAUUUUGGGGGGAAUUCCAGGGAAAAUUUCAAGGAAUUUCAAGGGGAUUUUGGCGUUGGGUUUGGGGGGAAUUCCCAGGAUUUGGGGGGAAUUCCCAGGAUUUGGGGCUGAAUUUGGGGGGAAUUCCUGGGAUUUGGGGCAGGAUCUGGGGACGAUUCCCAGGAUUUGGGGCAGG